CUGGCUCAGGAGUGAACGCUGGCGGCGUAGCCUAACACAUGCAAGUCGAGCGAUCUCUCGGAGAAGAGCGGCGGACGGGUGAGUAACGCGUGGGUAACCUGCCCUGUACACACGGAUAACAUACCGAAAGGUAUGCUAAUACGGGAUAAUAUGUUUUGAUCGCAUGGUCGAAAUAUCAAAGCUCCGGCGGUACAGGAUGGACCCGCGUCUGAUUAGCUAGUUGGUGAGGUAAUGGCUCACCAAGGCGACGAUCAGUAGCCGACCUGAGAGGGUGAUCGGCCACAUUGGAACUGAGACACGGUCCAAACUCCUACGGGAGGCAGCAGUGGGGAAUAUUGCACAAUGGGCGAAAGCCUGAUGCCAGCAACGCCGCGUGAGCGAUGAAGGCCUUCGGGUCGUAAAGCUCUGUCCUCAAGGAAGAUAAUGACGGUACUUGAGGAGGAAGCCCCGGCUAACUACGUGCCAGCCGCCGC
RNAcentral lists this ribosomal RNA (473 nucleotides) under uncultured bacterium. Its description in RNAcentral is "bacterial SSU rRNA". It matches the Rfam family "Bacterial small subunit ribosomal RNA", at positions 19 to 518 of the family's 1533-position model. The record is from RNAcentral.